UUGAACGCUGGCGGCAUGCCUUACACAUGCAAGUCGAACGGUAGAGGGGCAACCCUUGAGAGUGGCGAACGGGUGAGUAAUAUAUCGGAACGUGCCCAGUCGUGGGGGAUAACGCAGCGAAAGCUGCGCUAAUACCGCAUACGAUCUAUGGAUGAAAGCGGGGGAUCGCAAAGACCUCGCGCGAUUGGAGCGGCCGAUAUCAGAUUAGGUAGUUGGUGGGUAAAAGCCCA
This 230-nucleotide ribosomal RNA is filed under the name uncultured bacterium. RNAcentral's name for it is "partial 16S ribosomal RNA". It matches the Rfam family "Bacterial small subunit ribosomal RNA", at positions 30 to 267 of the family's 1533-position model. The record is from RNAcentral.